UACAGAGGUGGCAAGCGUUGUUCGGAAUUACUGGGCGUAAAGGGCGCGUAGGCGGUUCGUUAAGUCCUGUGUGAAAUCCCCCGGCUCAACUGGGGAACUGCACAGGAAACUAGCGGGCUUGAGUUCGGGAGAGGGAAGCGGAAUUCCAGGUGUAGCGGUGAAAUGCGUAGAUAUCUGGAGGAACACCGGUGGCGAAGGCGGCAUCCUGGACCAACACUGACGCUGAGGAGCGAAAGCCAGGGGAGCAAACGGG
This 253-nucleotide ribosomal RNA is filed under the name uncultured bacterium. RNAcentral describes it as "partial 16S ribosomal RNA". It matches the Rfam family "Bacterial small subunit ribosomal RNA", at positions 524 to 776 of the family's 1533-position model. The record is from RNAcentral.